GACGAACGCUGGCGGCGUGCCUAAUACAUGCAAGUAGAACGCAGUUGCUAACGGGUGAGUAACUCGUAGGUAACUGCCUGGUAGCGGGGGAUAACUAUUGGAAACGAUAUCUAAUACCGCAUACUCCCAAAUUGACCUGCAUUGUAUUAGCUAGUUGGUGGGGUAAAGGCUCACCACGGGAACGAUACAUUGCGGACCUGAGAGGGUGUGCGGCCACACUGGGACUGAGAAACGGCCCAGACUUCUACGGGAGGAAGCAGUAGGGAAUCUUCGGAAAUGGAGGGCAGUCUGACCGAGCAAAGCCGCGUGAGUGAAGAAGGGUUGCGGAUCGUAAAGCUCUGUUGUAAGAGAAGCGGUAUCUGACCAGAAAGGGAAGGCUAACUACGUGCCAGCAGACGCGGUAAUAA
This 407-nucleotide ribosomal RNA is filed under the name uncultured bacterium. RNAcentral describes it as "partial 16S ribosomal RNA". It matches the Rfam family "Bacterial small subunit ribosomal RNA", at positions 28 to 526 of the family's 1533-position model. The record is from RNAcentral.